AUUGAACGCUGGCGGCAGGCUUAACACAUGCAAGUCGAGCGGGGUGAUGGUGCUUGCACUAUCACUUAGCGGCGGACGGGUGAGUAAUGCUUAGGAAUCUGCCUAUUAGUGGGGGACAACAUCUCGAAAGGGAUGCUAAUACCGCAUACGUCCUACGGGAGAGAGCAGGGGAUCACUUGUGAUUAAAACUGAGGUGGUAUAAGAUGGGCAUGCGUCUGAUUAGGUAGUUGGUGAGGUAAUGGCUCACCAAGCCGACGAUCAGUAGGGGUUCGGAAAGGAUUCCCCCCCACACUGGUACUGAGACACGGACCAGACUCCUACGGGAGGCAGCAGUGAGGAAUAUUGGUCAAUGGCCGGAAGGCUGAACCAGCCAUCCCGCGUGCAGGAUGACGGCCCUAUGGGUUGUAAACUGCUUUUGUACCUGAAGAAACCUGGUUACGAGUAACCAGUUGCCGGUAAGGUAUGAAUAAGCAUCGGCUAACUCCGUGCCAGCCGCCGCCGUAA
Molecule: ribosomal RNA, 504 nt
Filed under: uncultured bacterium
Lineage: Bacteria
Description: partial 16S ribosomal RNA
Rfam family: Bacterial small subunit ribosomal RNA
Source: RNAcentral